Molecule: small RNA, 88 nt
Filed under: Salmonella enterica
Lineage: Bacteria; Pseudomonadati; Pseudomonadota; Gammaproteobacteria; Enterobacterales; Enterobacteriaceae
Also listed under: 3 other names
Description: partial RtT sRNA
Rfam family: RtT RNA
About the family: This family represents a bacterial cis-regulatory element known as RtT RNA.
Source: RNAcentral
UGUAUCUGAAGUCUGACGAGGAUGAGAACCUCCGGGGGCAAGAGGUUCGACUCGAGCGAAGCGAGAGAACGUUGCGUCAGCAACGGCC